RNAcentral lists this ribosomal RNA (417 nucleotides) under uncultured bacterium. RNAcentral describes it as "bacterial SSU rRNA". It matches the Rfam family "Bacterial small subunit ribosomal RNA", at positions 355 to 786 of the family's 1533-position model. The record is from RNAcentral.
UGGGGAAUAUUGGGCAAUGGGCGAAAGCCUGACCCAGCAACGCCGCGUGAGGGAAGAAGGGUUUCGGCUCGUAAACCUCUGUCCUAUGGGACGAAGGAAGUGACGGUACCAUAGGAGGAAGCCCCGGCUAACUACGUGCCAGCAGCCGCGGUAAUACGUAGGGGGCGAGCGUUGUCCGGAAUGAUUGGGCGUAAAGGGCGCGUAGGCGGCCUGCUAAGUCUGGAGUGAAAGUCCUGCUUUCAAGGUGGGAAUUGCUUUGGAUACUGGUGGGCUGGAGUGCAGGAGAGGAAAGCGGAAUUACCGGUGUAGCGGUGAAAUGCGUAGAGAUCGGUAGGAACACCAGUGGCGAAGGCGGCUUUCUGGACUGAAACUGACGCUGAGGCGCGAAAGCGUGGGGAGCAAACAGGAUUAGAUACC